GGCCAGUUAGCGUAGUGGUCAUCGCGUUUCGUUUACACCGAAAAGGUCGCCGGUUCGAACCCGGCACUGGUCA
This is a transfer RNA of 73 nucleotides. It matches the Rfam family "tRNA". From Rfam's summary of the family: Transfer RNA (tRNA) molecules are approximately 80 nucleotides in length. The record is from Rfam.